Molecule: ribosomal RNA, 1204 nt
Filed under: Flagellimonas olearia
Lineage: Bacteria; Pseudomonadati; Bacteroidota; Flavobacteriia; Flavobacteriales; Flavobacteriaceae
Description: bacterial SSU rRNA
Rfam family: Bacterial small subunit ribosomal RNA
Source: RNAcentral
UUGCUUUUCCGCCGGCGACCGGCGCACGGGUGCGGAACGCGUAUGGAACCUGCCCCUGUCAGGGGAAUAGCCCAGGGAAACUUGGAUUAAUGCCCCAUGGUACCAUUAUAUCGCAUGAUAUUAUGGUUAAAGAUUUAUCGGACAGGGAUGGCCAUGCGUACCAUUAGUUAGAUGGUGAGGUAACGGCUCACCAUGGCAGCGAUGGUUAGGGGCCCUGAGAGGGGGAUCCCCCACACUGGUACUGAGACACGGACCAGACUCCUACGGGAGGCAGCAGUGAGGAAUAUUGGACAAUGGUCGGGAGACUGAUCCAGCCAUGCCGCGUGCAGGAUGACUGCCCUAUGGGUUGUAAACUGCUUUUAUACGGGAAGAAACCACCCUACGUGUAGGGUGCUGACGGUACCGUAAGAAUAAGGACCGGCUAACUCCGUGCCAGCAGCCGCGGUAAUACGGAGGGUCCGAGCGUUAUCCGGAAUCAUUGGGUUUAAAGGGUCCGUAGGCGGGCCUGUAAGUCAGGGGUGAAAGUUUGUGGCUCAACCAUAAAAUUGCCUUUGAUACUGCAGGUCUUGAGUCAUGGUGGGGUUGCCGGAAACAUGUGGUGUAGCGGUGAAAUGCAUAGAUAUCACAUAGAAACACCGAUCGGAAGGCAGGUGACCAACCAUGUACUGACGCUGAUGGACGAAAGCGUGGGUAGCGAACGGGAUUAGAUACCCCGGUAGUCCACGCCGUAAACGAUGGAUACUAGCUGUGGGGACUUCGGUCUCCGUGGCCAAGCGAAAGUGAUAAGUAUCCCACCUGGGGAGUACGUUCGCAAGAAUGAAACUCAAAGGAAUUGACGGGGGCCCGCACAAGCGGUGGAGCAUGUGGUUUAAUUCGAUGAUACGCGAGGAACCUUACCAGGGCUUAAAUGCAGGCUGCAUGGGGUAGAGAUACCCCUUUCUUCGGACUGCCUGCAAGGUGCUGCAUGGUUGUCGUCAGCUCGUGCCGUGAGGUGUCAGGUUAAGUCCUAUAACGAGCGCAACCCCUACCGUUAGUUGCCAGCAUGUCAAGAUGGGGACUCUAACGGGACUGCCGGUGCAAACCGUGAGGAAGGUGGGGACGACGUCAAAUCAUCACGGCCCUUACGUCCUGGGCCACACACGUGCUACAAUGGCCGGUACAGAGGGAAGCCACCCCGCAAGGGGGCGCGGAUCUAUAAAACCGU